This 465-nucleotide ribosomal RNA is filed under the name Vreelandella stevensii. RNAcentral describes it as "partial 16S ribosomal RNA". It matches the Rfam family "Bacterial small subunit ribosomal RNA", at positions 338 to 795 of the family's 1533-position model. The record is from RNAcentral. Lineage: Bacteria; Pseudomonadati; Pseudomonadota; Gammaproteobacteria; Oceanospirillales; Halomonadaceae.
CCUACGGGAGGCAGCAGUGGGGAAUAUUGGACAAUGGGGGGAACCCUGAUCCAGCCAUGCCGCGUGUGUGAAGAAGGCCCUCGGGUUGUAAAGCACUUUCAGUGAGGAAGAACGCCUGGUGGUUAAUACCCAUCAGGAAAGACAUCACUCACAGAAGAAGCACCGGCUAACUCCGUGCCAGCAGCCGCGGUAAUACGGAGGGUGCGAGCGUUAAUCGGAAUUACUGGGCGUAAAGCGCGCGUAGGUGGCUUGAUAAGCCGGUUGUGAAAGCCCCGGGCUCAACCUGGGAACGGCAUCCGGAACUGUGAAGCUAGAGUGCAGGAGAGGAAGGUAGAAUUCCCGGUGUAGCGGUGAAAUGCGUAGAGAUCGGGAGGAAUACCAGUGGCGAAGGCGGCCUUCUGGACUGACACUGACACUGAGGUGCGAAAGCGUGGGUAGCAAACAGGAUUAGAUACCCUAGUAGUC